AUUUUCUUAAUCAUAAUGAUUACCAGGAAAGUAUGGGUACAGAGCUCCAACCCAUAUACAAUUAGGCUGACUCUUAAAAAACUACAAACAAUUCUAAAGGAUGAUUCUCCCACGGAUCCUGAUUGUUUCAAUAUGGUCGUGUGCAAAUUUAUGUUUGAUGACAUCCAAACGGCCAAAAAGAAAAAGGGAUUGAUAUCAAAACAUUAUCUAGACAUGCAAUUUUGGGUAUGUUCACCAUAUAUAUUUCUUAUAUAUAAUCUAUUUUUAUAA
Molecule: ribosomal RNA, 270 nt
Filed under: Triticum aestivum (bread wheat)
Lineage: Eukaryota; Viridiplantae; Streptophyta; Magnoliopsida; Poales; Poaceae
Description: partial small subunit ribosomal RNA
Source: RNAcentral